CGGGAAGAGACGCGUAGACUUUCCAAGUACAAGCAACCACUUGUCGUUCGUUAAAUGGAACACCACCGCGUAAUUUAGCGCUCAAUCAACCCCUCUCUCCAGCUGGGCCGUACUCCGCCCCCAGCUAUCCCUGCAACGAUCUCCUCUUCCCCUCUCCGCGCUAGAAAUAUUAAAAAAAGGGGGCACCAGAUCUUAGCCUUCCAUCUCUGAAAUCCACUACCAUCGCCUCUAAAAGCAUCCGAACAAAAUCUUGAAAUCUAAAAUCCAUUUUCACUCUAUAAUUUUUUUAAAAAAACUGAAAAUCAUAAAUUCCAUUUAACUUCAUUUUAGGGUUUUUUCAUGUGGAUUAGUCUCCAUCGUCCAUCAAAUCUUGAUUUGAUAAUGUAAGCUGCUCGAAACCAAUCAAAUGGCAUCAAUCCGUCGAACACUCUCACAGGUUUACCAAGACCGCAGCUACCAAAACGGCGUCGCUUCAGCACAAGCUCACAAGCUCUUCAGCACUAACAACAACAGCGGCAAGUAUUCUUCCUUGACCUCCACCUCCGCCGUCGCAGCAGCUUCCGUCUAUCUCCGCCGCAAAGGAUUUCGCAGAUCCUUUUAUAGGUGCACGAUAUUCUUCAUCCUAGGGCUUUUACUUGGUAUCUUCCCGUUUGGUCAAGUGGAUAACGAUAUCAAUAAGCAUGAUUUCUCCUUCGAAAUGAAGCCGCCACAUGUCAAUGUCCAAUUGGACACCAAAGAUAAUUUCGCUCUCGCUGCCGUGUCCUUCGGCGUCGAGAAAACGACACCGCAAUUGGAUCGAUUUUCAAGGUUUGAUUAUGUAGAGCGAAAGCAAGUGAUAGUGAUAACACCGACAUAUAAUCGAGCAUUACAAGCCUACUUCUUGAAUAGAUUAGGUCAGGUGUUGAGGUUAGUGCAGCCGCCGUUGUUGUGGAUUGUGGUGGAGAUGACGUCAGCAUCGGCGGAGACAGCGGAGAUAUUGAGGAAAACCGGGGUGAUGUAUAGGCAUUUGGUUUGUGUUAAUAAGAAUAACACGAAUGUGAAGGACAGAGGAGUGCAUCAGAGGAAUGCGGGAUUGGAGCAUAUAGAAAGGCAUAGACUUGAUGGGAUUGUGUAUUUUGCUGAUGAUGAUAAUGUAUAUUCGCUUCAAUUGUUUGAGAGCUUGAGAAAUAUCAGUCAUUUUGGCACUUGGCCUGUUGCAAUGCUUGCACAAAGCAAAAACAAAGCAAUUGUGGAAGGUCCGGUAUGCAAUGCCAGUCAAGUAAUUGGAUGGCACACAAAUGAGAAAAGUAAAAGACUCCGCAGGUUUCAUGUUGAUAUGUCUGGAUUUGCUUUCAACAGCACCAUCUUGUGGGACCCAAAGAGAUGGAACCGCCCCUUUUCAAAUCCAAUUCGACAGUUAGAUACAGUGAAGGAGGGUUUUCAACUUUUUCACAGGAGACCACAUUCAUUGAGCAAGUGGUAGAAGAUGAAAGUCAAAUGGAAAGUGUACCACCCAGCUGUUCAAGGAUACUGAACUGGCAUCUUCAUUUAGAUGCUCAUGGUCUUGUCUAUCCCAGAGGCUGGCUGCUCCAGAAGAACCUAGAAGUUGUUCAGCCCAUCAAGUGAUUGAGCUUCAAAGUGCAAUUUUGAUGGUAAAGAUCAAGAGAGUGGCUCGUCAUCCCCAACCAUUUUUUUGCUUCAUUUGUGACAUCUUCAUCGAGCAGCCUCCAUAGAUACUCAGCAGCCUAUGACAAAGAAACAGGAGUUUUUGUUUUCGCAUAAUUUCUUAGAAUGAUAUUCUUUGCCAGAAACAAGAAUGCCCUUUUUGUUGUAGAGUUCUGGUGCUUGAUUCUUGUGGGGAUUUAUUGCUUAAUUUCUUAAGAUUUGCCCCCCGGCAUCUAAAAACAGAUGUUAUGUGCGUUUGAGGACAGCCAGGACGGCUGUCGUGGAUCCAUUCUUUUGUAUUUGAGUGGUAGGCCUUUCAAAAGAAUCAAGAAAAUUGCAAGUUGUAAAAUUCAGUUGUUAUAAAAGUUGUCUCAAUGUUUCUGGCGA
Populus trichocarpa (black cottonwood) is the source of this 2031-nucleotide RNA transcript. It is a transcript of the gene named probable beta-1,4-xylosyltransferase IRX9H, with no coding region annotated. The transcript is spliced from 4 exons. The record is from RefSeq and is a predicted model, not a curated record. Lineage: Eukaryota; Viridiplantae; Streptophyta; Magnoliopsida; Malpighiales; Salicaceae.